GCCAAAAGCCAGCCAACAAGAGAGAAACCGUCUUCACUUUCCCUUUCUCUCCCAGGGCACCCCAAAAGCCAUUGAUUAUUCAGUUUUAUAAACAUAGUCGUAACCUUUCUUGCAAGAUCUGUUUGAAGAAGCUAAUAGUUGAACCGUUUGGUGGCCUCUUCACACGUGAGUUCCUCUAUUUGUCUUAUUUCUUCAUAAAAUUAUAGUAAUUUUUGCUAGUUUAUUGCUACCGACAGCCAUCACCUACCGGGAGGUGACAGUCAUGUCCGGUGGGGGCUAGGUGAAUGUUGUUGUCCCUGGCCGACAGUUGUCCGAUGGGAUCAAACUCAUACAGAGGUGGACUCUCCUGGGAAGAAGAAGAUGGCUAAUAUUGCAGCUGUGAUUUCUAAAAUUUCAGAGGCCCUUAUGUGCCCUGCAAUACUAGGCAGAAAGAGCUGAGAUGAAGGACCAACUCUGGCUGGUAGAGGUUCUUCUAAGAAAAAAAAAAGGCCGCAUUGUCCUUCCCGGUAGGGCUGGCUUUGGGAACAAGAACCGGAUUUUAAGGUUAUUUUGAGAAAUUAAGGGAAUGAAGAUAAAAUUGCAGAGAAGGAAAUUAUAAACUAUAGAGAAAGCUACAACAAAUCAACGAAAUGGACCUUACAAUAAGAUGUUGAUAAGCUGAAUUAAAGCAUGAAGAAAAUGUUCAUAGAGCUUCAGAGAGGGCUUUCUAUAGACCCUUAGGAACACUACCUCGUCUUCCUCCGUAUCUCCCUCAAAUACUUAAGUAUCGACAUGUUUGGUAUACUAAAGAAGGUAAUCGAGUAUUGUGUACCGAGAAUUUCCUAUUAGUUGAAUUCCACAUUCAUCUAGAUAUGUCUCUCUGCCUUUACUACUACUAUAUUGGAUUUGAUUAGUUUUCGUUUGGCAUAGGCAAAAGGACUAAUGGCGUAAUUGGGAAUUAUUGUUAAGUAAAUUGGAAAUUGGAGACUAAUGACAGGUUCACCAUACUUUAUUCUUAUGAACCUGUGAUUGUGUGGGUGUAAUGUUGUGGACUCUAGAACUUCUAGCUGAAUUGGCUAUUUUGGAAAAUGAGGUUGUUUGACUCGAGGAACAGGUUGUGUAUUUUAGACAAGGUCUCUCUCAGGGAGAUGUUUACAUAGCGUCCCGAACAAAUUCAGAGGAUUCGAUCGGUUCAUUCAAUGAUUCGUUGAUUACUACUACAAGAGCUCAAGAUCUUUAUACCAAAUUUAAGUUAAUUCAGGUUCAUUCUUGGUAAUGCCCUCACAAUCUCUAACUACAUGUGCUUCUAGUCGAAGGUUAUUAUCAUUAGAUGGUGUUUUUAAUGGCACAAGGAAUUGCACAAAGAGGCCAGCAAAUGGAAAGCAAUCUAUAAAUAAAGCUAACAAAUCUUUGGAAGAUCCAUUAGUAAUCAAGGAUAGAUCUUGUCCAAAUAGAGACAUCCUGUGAAGCUUGAAUCAAUAGUAAAAUGUGUAAAUUCCCUGAAAAUGCAGGUAUUUUCUCAUUGGCAAUGUAGAUUAAACAAAUGUAUAUGUAAAGAAGCAAAAACUGAUUUUGAGUAUGAUGAUAUCUUUGCAGUGUAGAACUGUAGAACAGGAAAAGGAGGGGAGGUCUGGUUCUCAUUUGACAAAAUGUUUGAUGCUGAAAACGAGACAAAUAAAAGUAAACUUAGAUUAUUUAGUUUUAGAAAAAUUAGGUAGAGUUUUUCUAUGGUGUAGAUCUUUUUACCCCCUGAUAGUACAUUUUUACUUAACAUGAAGGUUUAGAUUUGGUGCUUCGUGUUUUUCCAACAAUGCACGCUGUGCUGCUAGAAGUCAAAAAUUUUUGCUCUAUGUUAGUGCAAAAGAAGGUCUGGUAAUUAUUUUUUCCUUUUGAUUUUUUUGCCACGAACUUGUGCGUUCAAUGUAACAGAGAUUUUGGCAUCGUAAUAUUUAUUUUAAACUUAUAAUAUCCCUUUUUGCAUUUAUGCAAAUGAUAUUCGGCAAGAAUUAUGGUGGAGGACUUAUUGUAUUUGCACCCAGACGUAUUUUCUAGUGGAGUACUGUAACUAUUCCACAAGGGCCAAUCAGAAUGUCGGUGCUGAUGGUUGCCACCAGUUCUGUGGAAGAGAUAGGUGGUGGUGGUGGUGGAAAUAAUAAGGAUGAGAAGGAAGGACAAUUUCAAAGAAAACCUAGGAGGAGUUGGUCAUCUAUGCUACAUAGAUAAUUCUUGCUAGCCCUUCAAAAACUUGGUGGUUCACACAGUAUAAUUUAUUAUCAAAUUAACUUUGACUAAGAUACAUGUGACUUCAUUUUUGCAUUGAUUGUUCUGGUUCAUCUUAUUAUACAGUUGCUACACCUAAACAAUUAAGGAUUUGAUGAAGGUUGACGGUCUAACAAAUUUUGAAGUAAAAAGUCAUUUACAGAAAUAUAGGCUACAUGGGUGACGACCAGGUCAUUUUAUUUAUUAUCACAGUCGACAAGCAUCACAGUACCUGGUGGUGGGAGGAGUCUAGGGGCCGUCACCUGAAUAUGAUGCUACAAUGGAUACAAAAACUACAGCCACCACUUGUAAUCAAAUCUAUGGGCCAAUUGCUUUUCGACUACCACCAUUACAAAGGCAGCAGUAUAACCAAUUUCACUCUGAUGACCAAGCUAGUCAUACUGAUGAUAGAACUCACUCUUGGUCCCUGGCCACCUCCUUCUCUAUGCAUUCAACCACAAUUCACACCCUAUUGAUUUUUCUCCUUGCAUAUUUGAUACAUAGUAAAAGACUACCCUGACAACAUGAUAAGAAAAAGUAUAGUCGUCAUUUUUUCUUGGGAAAUACCACUAUUUAAUUUAACUUACCUUUUUAUUUAUUUAUUUUUAUUUUUUGGAAGGAGAGGGGGGUGGGGUGGGGGGGUGGCUCUAGUCAUUUCGUAUAACCAUUUAGUAAAAUAUAAAGCCAAUGAGACCUUAUGUAUUUUCCAUAUUUAUUGAACUUCCAAUAUUAUGUUUUUUGAAAUUUAUAUGCAUUGGAGAAUGAUAUUAUAGCUCAGUAAGUGUUGUUGGAACUUCCCUGUUUACUGGAUAUUGUAAUAAUAAAUAUCAAUAUAAAGAAUAAACCCCCCUUAAAAUUCCA
Olea europaea var. sylvestris is the source of this 3099-nucleotide long non-coding RNA. RefSeq lists it as uncharacterized. The transcript has 4 exons. Lineage: Eukaryota; Viridiplantae; Streptophyta; Magnoliopsida; Lamiales; Oleaceae. The record is from RefSeq and is a predicted model, not a curated record.